AGUUUGAUCCUGGCUCAGAUUGAACGCUGGCGGGAUGCUUUACACAUGCAAGUCGAACGGCGUGGUGGACUUCGGUCUGGUGGCGAGUGGCGAACGGGUGAGUAAUGUAUCGGAACGUGCCUAGUAGCGGGGGGAUAACUACGCCGAAAGCGUAGCUAAUACCGCAUACGCCCUUCGGGGAAAGCGGGGGGACCUUUCGGGCCUCGCACUAUUAGGAGCGGCCGAUAUCGGAUUAGCUAGCGGUGGGGUAACGGCUCACCAAGGCGACGAUCCGUAGCUGGUUUGAGAGGACGACCAGCCACACUGGGACUGAGACAUGGCCCAGACUCCUACGGGAGGCAGCAGUGGGGAAUUUUAGACAAUGGGGGAAACCCUGAUCCAGCCAUCCUGCGUGUGCGAUGAAGGCCUUCGGGUUGUAAAGCACUUUGUGAGGUAAGAAACGGCACGGGAUAAUACCCCGCAACGACGGUACCUGCAGAAUAAGCACCGCUAACUACGUGCCAGCAGCCGCGGUAAUACGUAGGGUAAGCGUUAAUCGGAAUUACUGGGCGUAAAGCGUGCGCAGGCGGUUCGGAAAGAAAGAUGAAAUCCCAGAGCUUAACUUUGGAACUGCAUUUUUAACUACCGAGCUAGAGUGUGUCAGAGGGAGGUGGAAUUCCGCGUGUAGCAGUGAAAUGCGUAGAUAUGCGGAGGAACACCGAUGGCGAAGGGCAGCCUCCUGGGAUAACACUUCGACGCUCAUGCACGAAAGCGCGUGGGGAGCAAACAGGAUUAGAUACCCUGGUAGUCCACGCCCUAAACGAUGUCAACUAGCUGUUAGCUUCCGGGCUCCGGUAGCGCAGCUAACGCGUGAAGUUGACCGCCUGGGGAGUACGGUCGCAAGAUUAAAACUCAAAGGAAUUGACGGGGACCCGCACAAGCGGUGGAUGAUGUGGAUUAAUUCGAUGCAACGC
RNAcentral lists this unclassified non-coding RNA (953 nucleotides) under uncultured Bordetella sp. RNAcentral describes it as "partial 16S-23S ribosomal RNA intergenic spacer". It matches the Rfam family "Bacterial small subunit ribosomal RNA", at positions 10 to 962 of the family's 1533-position model. The record is from RNAcentral. Lineage: Bacteria; Pseudomonadati; Pseudomonadota; Betaproteobacteria; Burkholderiales; Alcaligenaceae.